This 253-nucleotide ribosomal RNA is filed under the name uncultured bacterium. RNAcentral describes it as "partial 16S ribosomal RNA". It matches the Rfam family "Bacterial small subunit ribosomal RNA", at positions 100 to 354 of the family's 1533-position model. The record is from RNAcentral.
CGGGGUGAGUAACACGUGGAUAACCUGCCUUACACUGGGGGAUAACACUUAGAAAUAGGUGCUAAUACCGCAUAAGCGCACAGAGCCGCAUGGCUCAGUGUGAAAAACUCCGGUGGUGUAAGAUGGAUCCGCGUCUGAUUAGCUGGUUGGCGGGGGUAGAAGCCCACCAAGGCGACGAUCAGUAGCCGGCCUGAGAGGGUGAACGGCCACAUUGGGACUGAGACACGGCCCAAACUCCUACGGGAGGCAGCAG